RNAcentral lists this transfer RNA (67 nucleotides) under Marmota monax (woodchuck). RNAcentral's name for it is "tRNA.Ala". The record is from RNAcentral. Lineage: Eukaryota; Metazoa; Chordata; Mammalia; Rodentia; Sciuridae.
GGUUGUGGCUCAGUGGUAGAGCGCUUGCCUAGCAUGUGCAAGGCCCUGGGUUCGAUCUUCAGCACCA